UCUACACUGCAAAAGUGUACAGCAGCUAUACGUAUGCUGGCAUAUGGUCAAUCAGGAGAUACGUAUGACGAAUAUCUCCGACUAGGUGAAAGUACUGCACUUUUAUGUUUGGACAAUUUCACUAAUGCGAUAAUACAAUUGUUUGGCCAUGAGUAUCUAAGAAGACCUACAACUGAUGAUCUUCAACGACUACUGGAUAUUGGAGAGUUACGCGGGUUCCCAGGAAUGGUAGGCAGCAUCGACUGUAUGCAUUGGGAGUGGAAAAAUUGCCCAACAGCUUGGAGAGGACAGUACACACGUGGUUCAGGAAUGCCGACAAUUAUCUUAGAGGCGGUGGCAUCACAAGAUCUAUGGAUAUGACACGCAUUUUUCGGACUUCCAGGUACCCUCAACGAUAUUAAUGUUCUUGAUCGGUCACCAGUUUUUGAUGACAUUAUACAAGGUCGAGCUCCUAAAGUAAAUUUCAGGGUCAACAACCACAAUUAUCGUAUGGCGUACUAUCUUAGCGACGGAAUUUAUCCGAAAUAGUCAACAUUUAUCCAAUCAAUCUCACUUCCUCAAACUCCAAAAGCACAACUAUUUGCUCAACAUCAAGAAGCCGUAAGAAAAGAUGUCGAACGUGCUUUCGGAGUAUUGCAAGCGAGGUUUGUAAUAGUUAAAAACCCAGCACUACUAUGGGACAAGGAAAAGAUAGGAAGGAUUAUGAGAUGUUGUGUCAUACUGCACAACAUGAUAGUAGAGGACGAACGCGACAGAUUCACUCAGUAUGAUACAGAUGAAUUCGAAUCAGGAGAGUCAAGCAGAAGUUCUCAGGUUGAUGUCGUCUCCUCUACGGAAAGCCUUUCUAAUGUCGGUGAAAUGCGUGGGAUUCGCAAUCAAAUUCGGGAUCAACAGAUACAUCAUCGUUUGAAAGCUGAUUUAGUUGAAAAUAUAUGGCAAAAGUUUGGUAAUCUUGAUGAAUAAUCUUUGUAUGUUUAAGAUUUCUCUAUGUAUUAAAUAACUUUUAACAAAAAAAAAAAUUAUAAAAAAUAAUUUAAAUUUCUAAGAACCCCAUAUUCGGGUUCACCAAUGGAAAAACACAAUCAAUACAGGUUCAUCACUAUUUCUGACCCCAUCACAAAUAUAAUAAAAAAAAUCCAAUGAACCCAAGAGACUGAGAAAGAAGACGGAGAAAGAAGACGGUUUCUGAGCGAAGAUGAAAGGGAAAGGCAUUUAGCACGGCGCCGGAAAAACUACCAACUCCGAAGGCAGAGAGCAGAGAUAAAUCGCAUCGACUGUCAGGUCCAAGCGAUCACCGGAGGUAGCCAAGCAACACUAACCUCACCUCCUGAUUCCGGAACCAGUAAUACUGUCCCGUUGGCAGAGUCUGAUCAAAGUGUGGAUAUACCAAUGGAGAAGUUGGGUCAACUGAUUGGGACAAUACGGCUGAGCCGUGUGAAACAUCUGGUGAGGACACUAAACAAGUCCACUGCUAUGAGUGUAGAGGCAAGUAACAAUGAAACAA
This is a long non-coding RNA of Brassica napus (rape), 1504 nucleotides long. RefSeq lists it as uncharacterized. The transcript is spliced from 2 exons. The record is from RefSeq and is a predicted model, not a curated record. Lineage: Eukaryota; Viridiplantae; Streptophyta; Magnoliopsida; Brassicales; Brassicaceae.